CUCCUGCAGCAUCUCCAUUUCUGGCUCUGCUCCCGGAACACCAAGGAGAGAGCUAGGGCCAUAAGGAGCAACACUUCCCUGCUCCGAUUCGCCACCUCCCUCUCUGGAUUUGACACCUCCUCUGAUUUCCCCAAGGCGGGCAACUUUGUGCUGCAGCUGGGCCUCUACAUCUCUGACCCAGCCAAUGACAUCAGACGGCAAGCCAGGGGCGAGAUAUAUGGGCCGCAGAGGCUCCUGCUGCAGAGGAGGGGGCUGAACAUCAGAGAGGCGAGCAAUCUGUGGUAUCAGGACGGGCUCCAAGACACCGAGCGCCUGGCCUACAGGAACAUGGCCAGGGUGGGGAAGGU
Dermochelys coriacea (leatherback sea turtle) is the source of this 347-nucleotide long non-coding RNA. RefSeq lists it as uncharacterized. Lineage: Eukaryota; Metazoa; Chordata; Testudines; Dermochelyidae. The record is from RefSeq and is a predicted model, not a curated record. The transcript is spliced from 3 exons.